UGCAGAAUCUCACUGGAGUAACUGAAA
This 27-nucleotide non-coding RNA is filed under the name Mus musculus (house mouse). Lineage: Eukaryota; Metazoa; Chordata; Mammalia; Rodentia; Muridae. The record is from RNAcentral.